GACGAACGCUGGCGGCGUGCCUAACACAUGCAAGUCGAACGAAGCUUGAUUUCUGAUUUUUUCGGAAUGACGAAUGAUAUGACUGAGUGGCGGACGGGUGAGUAACGCGUGAGCAACCUGCCCUUCGGAACGGGAUAGUGUCUGGAAACGGACAGUAAUACCGUAUAAUAUAUAUUGAUCGCAUGGUUGAUAUAUCAAAACUGAGGUGCCGAAGGAUGGGCUCGCGUCUGAUUAGAUAGUUGGUGGGGUAACGGCCUACCAAGUCGACGAUCAGUAGCCGGACUGAGAGGUUGAACGGCCACAUUGGGACUGAGACACGGCCCAGACUCCUACGGGAGGCAGCAGUGGGGAAUAUUGCACAAUGGGGGAAACCCUGAUGCAGCAACGCCGCGUGAAGGAAGACGGUUUUCGGAUUGUAAACUUCUGUUCUUAGUGAAGAAUAAUGACGGUAGCUAAGGAGCAAG
Molecule: ribosomal RNA, 464 nt
Filed under: uncultured bacterium
Lineage: Bacteria
Description: bacterial SSU rRNA
Rfam family: Bacterial small subunit ribosomal RNA
Source: RNAcentral